This 999-nucleotide ribosomal RNA is filed under the name Borreliella burgdorferi (Lyme disease spirochete). RNAcentral describes it as "bacterial SSU rRNA". It matches the Rfam family "Bacterial small subunit ribosomal RNA", at positions 105 to 1095 of the family's 1533-position model. Lineage: Bacteria; Pseudomonadati; Spirochaetota; Spirochaetia; Spirochaetales; Borreliaceae. The record is from RNAcentral.
GGUGAGUAACGCGUGGAUGAUCUACCUAUGAGAUGGGGAUAACUAUUAGAAAUAGUAGCUAAUACCGAAUAAGGUCAGUUAAUUUGUUAAUUGAUGAAAGGAAGCCUUUAAAGCUUCGCUUGUAGAUGAGUCUGCGUCUUAUUAGCUAGUUGGUAGGGUAAAUGCCUACCAAGGCAAUGAUAAGUAACCGGCCUGAGAGGGUGAACGGUCACACUGGAACUGAGAUACGGUCCAGACUCCUACGGGAGGCAGCAGCUAAGAAUCUUCCGCAAUGGGCGAAAGCCUGACGGAGCGACACUGCGUGAAUGAAGAAGGUCGAAAGAUUGUAAAAUUCUUUUAUAAAUGAGGAAUAAGCUUUGUAGGAAAUGACAAAGUGAUGACGUUAAUUUAUGAAUAAGCCCCGGCUAAUUACGUGCCAGCAGCCGCGGUAAUACGUAAGGGGCGAGCGUUGUUCGGGAUUAUUGGGCGUAAAGGGUGAGUAGGCGGAUAUGUAAGUCUAUGCAUAAAAUACCACAGCUCAACUGUGGACCUAUGUUGGAAACUAUAUGUCUAGAGUCUGAUAGAGGAAGUUAGAAUUUCUGGUGUAAGGGUGGAAUCUGUUGAUAUCAGAAAGAAUACCGGAGGCGAAGGCGAACUUCUGGGUCAAGACUGACGCUGAGUCACGAAAGCGUAGGGAGCAAACAGGAUUAGAUACCCCUGGUAGUCUACGCUGUAAACGAUGCACACUUGGUGUUAACUAAAAGUUAGUACCGAAGCUAACGUGUUAAGUGUGCCGCCUGGGGAGUAUGCUCGCAAGAGUGAAACUCAAAGGAAUUGACGGGGGCCCGCACAAGCGGUGAGCAUGUGGUUUAAUUCGAUGAUACGCGAGGAACCUUACCAGGGCUUGACAUAUAUAGGAUAUAGUUAGAGAUAAUUAUUCCCCGUUUGGGGUCUAUAUACAGGUGCUGCAUGGUUGUCGUCAGCUCGUGCUGUGAGGUGUUGGGUUAAGUCCCGCAACGA